Molecule: long non-coding RNA, 911 nt
Filed under: Homo sapiens (human)
Lineage: Eukaryota; Metazoa; Chordata; Mammalia; Primates; Hominidae
Description: HSALNT0379988
Source: RNAcentral
CAUUCAUCCCACUUCAGCCUCCCGUGUAGCCGGGACUACAGUGAAGUCAUCUUAACAUGGAAUGGGAAUUAAAUCCUAACAACAAUCAUGUGAGCCUGGGGAGGAUCCUUCCCCACGUGAGCCUUCAGGGGAGACUUCAGCCUUGGCCAUCUUCUACAUCUAGAUUCCUGACCAAGAGAAGCUCAAGUGGUGGGAAAACCUGGAGAUGCAGCCCCGGGUGCCUCCUGCCUUGCUGUAGAAGAUGCUGUGGACAUGGGUCUCCUCCUCCAGACAAUGCACAUCAAAGGCAGGACCAGCAGGGAGCCCUGAGAUCAGAACCUCUCUGUGGGGUCUGCAUGCACAAGGGGAGGAGCUCCCUGUUGGGUGGGGUGGGGAAUUCAGUUAUUUUAUAUAAGCAUGAAUUUGUUAAAUAAUCAUUCUUCUUUCUGACCAAUGGCACAUUUCCCCUUCAGUCCUGGCACUGUAAUGUUACAUCUUGGUUUUUGGUUUUGUGUACAAAUGUGUUUAACACUGUGUAUUAAACACAAGGAAACACUCUUUUGUUGGUCACAUAGCCAUCAUGUACAACCAAAUUUAUACUUUUGUAUUUUUCCAAAACAAACAUCCCUGGGUGUUUCGUGCACACACACAGACAACUCACUAGACAAGGUUUACCUCCUCCAGACCACGCCUAUCCAAGACAGUGCCUAAGUAGAGGCAGGAGAGUUGAGCCUGUCUCUGUGGUAUCUUCAUGGGAAACACCAACAUUUUCUUGCUCUACUUCUGGUGUUGGUUGGGGAAUUCGGUUAUUUCUUGGAAAGACUGAGUGUGUCAAAGAAUCAUUCUGUUUGCUGUCUGAAAACAAAUGACACAGUAUUUGUUUUGAACAAAUGAAACAGUGUUUGUUUUGGUGUGCAAAGGCCUUUGACCCU